CUCCGGAAACUGAAAAUCAUACCCGAUAGAUCAUUAUGCCUGGAAUGGUUUAUGGUCGAAAUGAUUUAUCGCCGUAGGAUGGGACUGCGGUCUAUCAUAUUGUUGGUGAUGUAAUGGCCCACCAAGGCUAUAACAGAUACGGGCUCUGAGAGGAGAAGCCCGGACACGGGUACUGAGACACGGACCCCGGCCCUAUGGGGCGCAGCCUGAGAAAAAACUUUGCAAUGUGCCAAAGCCCGACAAGGUUAAUCCGAGUGUUUUCUGCUCAAGAAAUCUUUUGUUGCUUUACAACACUGAUGAAUUCGGGGUGGGCAAGUUCUGUUGUCAGCUUCCGCGGUAAA
RNAcentral lists this ribosomal RNA (341 nucleotides) under uncultured archaeon. RNAcentral describes it as "bacterial SSU rRNA". It matches the Rfam family "Archaeal small subunit ribosomal RNA", at positions 131 to 474 of the family's 1478-position model. The record is from RNAcentral.